Hypanus sabinus (Atlantic stingray) is the source of this 842-nucleotide long non-coding RNA. RefSeq lists it as uncharacterized. The record is from RefSeq and is a predicted model, not a curated record. Lineage: Eukaryota; Metazoa; Chordata; Chondrichthyes; Myliobatiformes; Dasyatidae. The transcript is spliced from 3 exons.
CCCAGGAUCACUGCUCCUGCUCCACGUAGCAAGUGUCCUGACCGGCUGCAUCACAGUCCGGUACGGCUAUUCCAGUAGCAGACUUGGCCCAAUCCAUCACAGACACGUCCCUCACCAUCAGGAGUAUCUACAGGAGGCAACGUCAACCAUCCUGGCCGCACCAUCUUCUCACAGCUGCCAUCGGGCAGGAGGUACAGAAGACCGAAGUCCCACACCACCAGGUUCAGGAACAACUACUUCCCUUCAACCAAAUUAUCACAUACUGAUAUUGCUCUAGCUCUCAAGUACUCGGCAAAUCAAGAAUCACUGAUGCGCCUUGGCAGCAUGCCCUGAAAAGCAAGCACAUUCCUUAUUUUAAGAUCUACAACCCUGCAAGACAGACUCUAACUUUCAUAUCACAGGAUCAGUUCUGGGACUAACCGCAAGUGCUUUCACAGAAGGUCCAAUGGUACCUCUACCUUCUUACAGGUUUGCUCAAUUCAGCAUGACAUCUGAAACGGCUUCUAUAGAUGCACAGUGGAGAGUAUCAUCAGCCUGGUAUGGAAACAGAGUGAAUGAAUAACUUCACUCAGCUCAACACUGAUCUGACUCCACAACUUAGCCCAAAGUCAGAAUCCAGUCAGCAGGUCCUGCAGACCAACACCUGGAUCGGUGGGUCUGGAGUCUGUGAAUCCAGGCCAGGGGCCAGAAGCUGAUUGUAGACACAGAUUGAUUGUAUUUCAUAAAGUGACGCCAGGCACAGGAGUGUCUGUACACAAGGUGACUGACAGGAAAUGAGAAAGUAGUGGUGGUUGGGAUGGGUGAGUGGGUGGUGGCGUCAAUCAGUCUCACUGCUUGGGGAG